GGACGUCCCACGUUCGGACUGCAGGCUGCAACCCGCCUGCACGAAGUUGGAAUUGCUAGUAAUCGCGGAUCAGCAUGCCGCGGUGAAUACGUUCCCGGGCUUUGUACACACCGCCCGUCACACCAUGAGAGUUGGAGAUACCCGAAGCCUAUGAGCUAACUUUUAGAGGCAGUAGUCGAAGGUAGAAUCAAUGAUUGGGGUGAAGUCGUAACAAGGUAGC
RNAcentral lists this ribosomal RNA (220 nucleotides) under uncultured bacterium. Its description in RNAcentral is "partial 16S ribosomal RNA". It matches the Rfam family "Bacterial small subunit ribosomal RNA", at positions 1280 to 1500 of the family's 1533-position model. The record is from RNAcentral.